RNAcentral lists this long non-coding RNA (2319 nucleotides) under Homo sapiens (human). Its description in RNAcentral is "non-protein coding lnc-SLC12A7-5:11". The record is from RNAcentral. Lineage: Eukaryota; Metazoa; Chordata; Mammalia; Primates; Hominidae.
UCUGCCCGCCUUGGCCUUCUCAAAGUGCUGGGAUUACAGACAUGAGCCACCGCGCCCGGCCAAAACUGGGCUUUUCUACGGUGGGGAGAGCAGAGCUAUUCUCUCUGGGGUGGGUGCUUGUCUGGGACUUGUCACCAUCCCUUACUCCAGGGCUGUCUUCAGCACUGUCGCCCACAGUCUUUCCGAACGCCUUAUUCAGAUGUUAUAAUUUCCCACACGAUGUUCCUGACCAAGAAACGCAUUUUACAGCAAAGGGGUGAGGAACGGAUCUGUGGCCAUAGGAUCCCAGAGCCGUGUCCCCGCCACUCAGGAGCAGGCGACCUGAGCAGAAGGGCUUGGCGCUGGUGGGCAGUGGGAGCCCUGCCAUGGGCGGCCCGAGGGGUGGUGGGAUCCCCGCCGUGGGCAACCCCGGGGGCGGUGGGAGCCACGCUGUGGGUGGGCUGGAGGCCCUACUGGGUGUGCUACCGGAAGGGAGGUCCUGACUGUGAGUCCAUGUUCCUGGCAUGUUGAACAAAGAAUUGAGCAAAACUCACAAAACGACAAAUAACAGAGUAAUGAAAGCGCAGAUCCUUUGCAGUGAACAUGCACUCCACAAGGGGGGACGGGACUCCAGCAAGUGCUCCGGAGCCCCCAUUAGGGUUUGUAUUGGGCUAAAAGAAUUUGGUAACACCCCCAGGUGCCCUUUCCAGGUCUCUGAUUGGCUGCAUCCUAUGAAGACUGGCCUGCGGCCAAUCAGAGGCUGAGGUGGAGACUCCUGUCUUGUUUUCCCAGGAAGGAGGCUGCGGCCUGUGUGCCGCCCAAUCCAGCCAGGAACCGGUGGCACCUGCUGCCCUCCGGCUUCUGCCUUAGCCCUCGGUGACCCCAUUCCCUGUUCUCCUGCCUCAGGUGCAGGGCGAUGGUUCUCAGUCAACGCUGGGGCCAGAGCCGGGGCUGGGGCCGCUCGUUCUGCACAGGUCCCGGGAGUGGCGGUGAGCAAUGCUCUCGCUCUCAGCGACCCACGUGCAAAGCGCUCCCUGCGCCCCCGACCCCGCAGCUUUGGGCUCUGCUGACUUCAAGGCUUCAUUCUUCCUCCAGGAGAACACAGCAGGUCCCUCCGACCGCAGUCGGCCUCUCCAGCCUGCCAUGCCUCUGGCCAUGAGGCGACCCGCUGGAGUGAUGGAUUCCCGUCACUACCACCCACAGGGCGAGGGGGUGCAUUGGUCUGCUUGGGCCGCUGUAACAAAAUGCCACAGCCUGGAUGAGUGACUGACAUUGCUUCCCCACCGUUCUGGAGGCUGGAGGCCCGAGAUCGAGGUCCCUGACACUAUUUCAGUGAUGCCAGAGCCCAGGAGGAGUCGACCAAGCCCCAGCGUGGCCAUAAGCACCUUCGCAGGACCACGGAGUCGCUGCAGGUGUUCAGCCCUGUUGAGAGUGGGAGUCGGUGUCGAUGGUCACAGCUCAGUAACUCAUCGUCACCAGCGAGUACCACAGAGCAGACACAACUGCACUUCUCUGUAGAGCCUCCAGUCGAUACUGAGAGCCACUGGGGCGUCUGACACCCAAGGGUGCAGACAUUCACUCCAAGUCCAGAGACCGCGCCCUUUCUAAGGCCCUGUCUCACAGUCGCCCCGUGCUCAUUGUGCCGGAUGUUUCCACAGCCACAGAGACGGUGCGUGAAGGUGAGGUGCAGCCUAGUGCAUAUGACUGACAGAAACGUGAAGCCACAGUGGACGCCUGGAUGAGACACAGAUCACCUUCCAAAUCUGAGUGUGGCCUUGGGACCAACCAGGCAGCCAGGGAGAAGGCAGAGACCAGAGGGAACCCAGGUGCCCUCAAUCCCAGCCUCCUCUAUCCCAGCCUCCCAAUCCCAGCCUCCCCAAUCCCAGCCUCCUAAUCCCAGCCUCCUCCAUCCCAGGACCCCCACUCCCAGCCUCCCGAUCCCAGCUUCUCUGAUCCCAGCCUCCCCUAAAACCCAGACUCUAUGAAUCCCAGCCUCUGAGGUGGGAACUGUUAGUAACCCCACUCCAUGGACAAGAAAGCUGGGGCCUGGCGAGGCUAACAGACUAUCCUGAUGGUGUGAGGGAGGGAUCGGCCUCUGAGGGCUGCUUCCACCCAUCUCACCAGUGGCUGCAGGCUCCAGGCGCCACUUUCCUUGAGUCUAUGUUCUUUCCAAGCAUCCUGCAGCUCCAGAAGCUCUGGAGCCGCCAGCACUGAGAGAAGCGAUGGAGCUGCAUGCAGGGAAACUUUGUUGACAGCGGUGUCUGGAUGGACCAGCAGAGGGCACUCUCACCCACGGGGAAAAUCGUGCGCCCGGCCUCGUCCACCGCCAGAAGACGCCGC